Molecule: ribosomal RNA, 253 nt
Filed under: uncultured bacterium
Lineage: Bacteria
Description: partial 16S ribosomal RNA
Rfam family: Bacterial small subunit ribosomal RNA
Source: RNAcentral
GACAGAGGGUGCAAACGUUGCUCGGAAUCACUGGGCGUAAAGGGCGUGUAGGCGGGAAGGAAAGUCAGAUGUGAAAUCCCCAGGCUCAACCUGGGAACUGCAUUUGAAACUCCCUUUCUUGAGUACCGGAGAGGAGAGUGGAAUUCCUGGUGUAGAGGUGAAAUUCGUAGAUAUCAGGAGGAACACCAGUGGCGAAGGCGGCUUUCUGGACGGUAACUGACGCUGAGACGCGAAAGCGUGGGGAGCAAACAGG